GGGUAUUGGUGAGACUGCCUGGGUGUGCGUGCGUGUGUUGUUUGGUGUAAAUUCAGUUAUUUUCAGUUCCUGCUCCCCCGAGCCUCUCUUUUCUUGGCAGAAGCCUUUAGGAACUCCUUGGACAAUGGAUGCUGGCCCUUAUCUGCAAAGAGCUGUCAGUCACAAGGUACCACAGGGUCGACAGUAUCUUACAAGGGCCCUUCUACCAUCUCAGGGCAAUCAGGUCAAGGAAGCUCCAGAGAAAAAUUUAAAAACAAGAAACAGACUGGGACACACUGAUGGCCCUUCCUCUGACACAUGUUCAGAAACUGCUUGAGUUGCCCGUGCUUCAAAUGGUAGUAACGGCACAAAUAAUUGGUACAGGCAGGACAGUGGCUUUUACUGUUUCAUAACAGAGCCACCCCGACAUAUUCAGGGUGUACAUAUUGCCUUGUAUUAUUGUGGAGAUAUGAGGUGUCCCCCCAGACUCUUGUGUGAGACACUGCAAGAACAUUCAGAGGUAAAAUGAUUGGGUUAUGGGAGCUGUGACCGAAUCAGUGGAUUGAUCCGCUUGAAGGGAUUAAUGGGGGUCAGAACUGUAGACAGGUGGGGUGUUAUGGUUUGGAUGUGAGGUGUCCCCCAAAAGCUCACAUGUGAGACCAUGCAGGAAGGUUCA
Molecule: long non-coding RNA, 655 nt
Filed under: Marmota monax (woodchuck)
Lineage: Eukaryota; Metazoa; Chordata; Mammalia; Rodentia; Sciuridae
Source: RNAcentral